Molecule: unclassified non-coding RNA, 78 nt
Filed under: Flavobacterium fryxellicola
Lineage: Bacteria; Pseudomonadati; Bacteroidota; Flavobacteriia; Flavobacteriales; Flavobacteriaceae
Description: Flavo-1 RNA
Source: RNAcentral
UUGUAUGAGGGAUUUCAGCAGCAUCCAUUAUUUUCUUCCUUUAAGAAAAUAAAGACAAAGUGGAUAAUCCGACCGGCU